Molecule: non-coding RNA, 2120 nt
Organism: Sus scrofa (pig)
Lineage: Eukaryota; Metazoa; Chordata; Mammalia; Artiodactyla; Suidae
Source: RefSeq, a predicted model, not a curated record
ACAGCUCAUGGCAACGCUGGUUCCUUAACCCACUGAGUGAGGCCAGGGAUUGAACCCCCAACCUCACGGUUCCUAGUCGGAUUCGUUUCUGCUGUGCCAUGAUGGAAACUCCCAUUUCCCCCCUUCUUAUUGGUUGUAUUUGCCAGCUUCGUUGCUUGUUUCAUGAUUUUUUUUUUUUUUUGGAUAUCAGUUACUGUGUGGUUCACAUUGUUAAGUGCUGGGUAUUUAUAUUACUAUAUUCAUUCUUAAGCUUUUAUGCCUUGAAAAUAGUCUGAUUCUUCUGGGUCUGGUUUUUAAGCUUUAUUAUGUGGGACUAGAGUAACGUUUAUUCUAGAGUUGGUCUCCCCACUACUGAGGCACAGCCCUUCUGGGCACUCUCCCCAUCGCCCCACACUUUCUGAGGUUUCCUAGCUCUGACCUGCCUCUGUGGGCUCCCCGGACUGUACCCUCACUUCUUCUGGAUGGUUGGAGGGGGUUUUCUCUGUAACAGGGUGGUUCACUCACAUGAUCACACCAUUCAGUGCUCAGCAGAAGACUCAAGCUGGGGCCUCUGCAAAUCUCCUGCAGCUCUUUCCUCUUCUCGGCCAAUCCUCACCUCCUCGGACUCCCAGCUCCAUCUCCUCAGCUCCUGGAGACCUCUGACCUCCACUUGGCUUCACACCCCUGUACCACAGCCUGGACUCUUCCCAGGCCAUAAGCCAGACAACCCCAGGGCCCACCUUGUAUGUUUCUUGCUCUUGGGAAUCACCAACCCUCAUUGCCUGAUGUCCAAUUUUUUAAAAAUUUUUUUUUUCUUUUUAUGGCUGAAUCCUGUGACCUGUGCCUACACCACAGCCGCGCCAACACCAGAUCUGAGCUGAAUCGGCAAACGAGGCCACAGCUCACCACAGCUGGGGAUCCUUAACCCCUGAUGGAGGCCAGGGAUCAAACCCACAUCCUCACAGAUGUUAUGUCAGGGUCUUAACAGCUGAGCCACAACAGGAACUCCUGAUGUUCAAAGCCUUGCAAAUUAUUGUUUCACAGACUCCAUCUGGAUUUGUCAAUGGGAUAAGCAAAGGACAAAAGUGUUUCCUAGGAAGAAAGGAAACACUUUGUAUGGAACAGCCGGAAGGCGAGGGGCUGAGUACCUUGAAGAUGGGAGAGGUGGUCAGAUGUAGCUGAUCUGUGACUGUUUCCGUUUGUGGCAGAACGAACCCCGCCCUGGGCCUUCCCGCAGUAGGUGUGGUACCUCGACAACCUCUCCCCUCUGCGGCAUGGUUGGUGUAGGGGGGGUGCCUGUCUGCCUGGCUAAUCUUGCUUCUUGGGCCAUAGGCUCACCAUGAGUGCCCCUUGUCUAAAAGUUCUGCCCAACACUCACAGCUGAGAGACUGCUAAGGCACCCCGCCCAUCUCUGAGGGGCCUUCCAUCCUGUGUAGACGUCUACACAGGUCUGCCUCCCUUACAACGGGUGUCUUGCUGGCCCAAGAUGGGGAUGGGGGAAAUGGAGGGAAUGUCUUUUUACCAGGUUUGGUAUCAAGCAGGCACACCUCCUCAACAACCUCACUUUUCUGUCCUAAAGGACAGAUUUGUUUCCCACGGCUGGCAAGUCCUGUAAUCCAAAUGCCAGUUCUCUCUUGCCGGCCCCCUAACAGGGGUUGGUGUGGAUGGGGGGGGGGCAUAUUUUCAAACCGUGUUCUAACACACAACCAUGUCAUGGUCCUGAUUUCCUUCAAUAGGAGACGCUCAGGGCCAAACCCAUAGAGUGAAACCCCUGAGCAGAUACCUCGAGGAUCUUCUUUCCACCCUGCAUGGGUCGCACGGAGGAGAAAAAACAUAGACCUAAAUCGAUUAAACCCUUUGCUGGAGCUAUUUGCUCAACCCACAGUCUACCUACAAUGUUCGCUGUCAUUCUUUCUGUUUACUACCAAGUCGAAGGAAAGCAGGAAACCUGAAAACAAAGCAGGUAGUGGAAACGAAAUCCCACAGGCUCUCUGGCAGUGUGCACAGACUGCUCUGGCUCCAGUUCCAAUGCCUCUGAGGACAAGUGUAAGAUGGUCCAGCUGUGGAGCCUAGAUUCAUUAGCGGAAGGGCCACACCCAAGGCAUAAAGAAAUUUCCAGGAUAGCAGUCCAAUCAGAGCUG